RNAcentral lists this ribosomal RNA (541 nucleotides) under uncultured Gallionellaceae bacterium. RNAcentral's name for it is "bacterial SSU rRNA". It matches the Rfam family "Bacterial small subunit ribosomal RNA", at positions 135 to 671 of the family's 1533-position model. The record is from RNAcentral. Lineage: Bacteria; Pseudomonadati; Pseudomonadota; Betaproteobacteria; Nitrosomonadales; Gallionellaceae.
AGUGGGGGAUAACGUAGCGAAAGUUACGCUAAUACCGCAUAUGCCCUGAGGGGGAAAGGRGGGGAUCGCAAGACCUUUCGCUUUCGGAGUGGCCGAUAUCGGAUUAGCUAGUAGGUGAGGUAAAGGCUCACCUAGGCGACGAUCCGUAGCGGGUCUGAGAGGAUGAUCCGCCACACUGGGACUGAGACACGGCCCAGACUCCUACGGGAGGCAGCAGUGGGGAAUUUUGGACAAUGGGCGCAAGCCUGAUCCAGCCAUGCCGCGUGAGUGAAGAAGGCCUUCGGGUUGUAAAGCUCUUUCAGACGGAAAGAAAUCGCGCUCAUUAAUACUGAGCGUGGAUGACGGUACCGUAAGAAGAAGCACCGGCUAACUACGUGCCAGCAGCCGCGGUAAUACGUAGGGUGCGAGCGUUAAUCGGAAUUACUGGGCGUAAAGCGUGCGCAGGCGGCUUUUUAAGCCAGAUGUGAAAUCCCCGGGCUUAACCUGGGAACUGCAUUUGGAACUGGAAGGCUAGAGUGUAGCAGAGGGGGGUAGAAUUCCA